This 264-nucleotide unclassified non-coding RNA is filed under the name Hevea brasiliensis (rubber tree). The record is from RNAcentral. Lineage: Eukaryota; Viridiplantae; Streptophyta; Magnoliopsida; Malpighiales; Euphorbiaceae.
GCGUCUUUUUGACAGCUUUAAUUCAAAUCGCCGCGGCGCAAUGUUGAGCUGCUGCAUUGGCAAGCCCUGACCAGCCGUCUACACUCUUGCGUGAUACCGGUGCGGUGCUGCCGGAGCGGGGAAGCGCCAAUCAGAUCCACCAGUCAAUCGACGGGCUAUCGGGAGUUUUACAUAUGAGCAUUUUUGGAAAGAUCAUGGGCGCGAUUUUCGGCACUAAGGCCGACGCGGCUGAGCCCGCCGGCGGUGCUGGAUCGGCUGCAGGCG